Molecule: ribosomal RNA, 398 nt
Filed under: uncultured bacterium
Lineage: Bacteria
Description: bacterial SSU rRNA
Rfam family: Bacterial small subunit ribosomal RNA
Source: RNAcentral
GACGAACGCUGGCGGCGUGCUUAACACAUGCAAGUCGAGCGGUAAGGCCCUUUCGGGGUACGACGAGCGGCGAACGGGUGAGUAACACGUGGGUGACCUGCCCUCAGCUCUGGGGAUAAGCCUGGGAAAACCGGGUCUAAUACCGGAUAUGACUCCAUGACGCAUGUUGUGGGGUGGAAAGCCUUGUGCGGCUGAGGAUGGGCCCGCGGCCUAUCAGCUUGUUGGUGGGGUGANGGCCUACCAAGGCGACGACGGGUAGCCGGCCUGAGAGGGCGACCGGCCACACUGGGACUGAGACACGGCCCAGACUCCUACGGGAGGCAGCAGUGGGGAAUCUUGCGCAAUGGGCGAAAGCCUGACGCAGCGACGCCGCGUGAGGGAUGACGGCCUGGUUGUAA